GACGAACGCUGGCGGCGUGCUUAACACAUGCAAGUCGAACGGAAAGGCCCUGCUUGCAGGGUACUCGAGUGGCGAACGGGUGAGUAACACGUGGGUGAUCUGCCCUGCACUUCGGGAUAAGCCUGGGAGACUGGGUCUAAUACCGGAUAGGAGCCAUUUUUAGUGUGAUGGUUGGAAAGUUUUUUCGGUGUAGGAUGAGCUCGCGGCCUAUCAGCUUGUUGGUGGGGUAAUGGCCUACCAAGGCGGCGACGGGUAGCCGGCCUGAGAGGGUGGACGGCCACAUUGGGACUGAGAUACGGCCCAGACUCCUACGGGAGGCAGCAGUGGGGAAUAUUGCACAAUGGGCGCAAGCCUGAUGCAGCGACGCCGCGUGGGGGAUGACGGCCUUCGGGUUGUAAACUCCUUUCGCUAGGGACGAAGCUUUUUGUGACGGUACCUAGAUAAGAAGCACCGGCUAACUACGUG
RNAcentral lists this ribosomal RNA (465 nucleotides) under uncultured bacterium. RNAcentral's name for it is "partial 16S ribosomal RNA". It matches the Rfam family "Bacterial small subunit ribosomal RNA", at positions 28 to 507 of the family's 1533-position model. The record is from RNAcentral.